RNAcentral lists this transfer RNA (75 nucleotides) under Verrucomicrobiota bacterium. RNAcentral's name for it is "Verrucomicrobia bacterium (marine sediment metagenome) tRNA-Leu". It matches the Rfam family "tRNA". From Rfam's summary of the family: Transfer RNA (tRNA) molecules are approximately 80 nucleotides in length. Their secondary structure includes four short double-helical elements and three loops (D, anti-codon, and T loops). The record is from RNAcentral. Lineage: Bacteria; Pseudomonadati; Verrucomicrobiota.
GCCCACGUAGUCCAACGCAGAGACGGCGCACUUAAAACGCGCACAGUGUCGGUGCGAAUCCGACCGUGGGCACCA